CGAAUCCUGAGGCGCUCAGGUCACAGGAUAUACUGGGAUUGAGAGGGUUCCUAAAAUCCGACUCUCGAGGACACGGCCCGUGGGAGAAUUGAACUCACAACCUUGGCACUACCUGGACUGUGCUCCAACUGACUGAGCCCUCUGCAUCCCAGGUGCUGGACUUGCCUCUGUGGAUGUGUGCUGAGCUCUCACUGCAGGGGACUGUCAGUUCUGACUGGCUCUUGAAGAAACUUGAAGAAGGAAUUUGG
This is a long non-coding RNA of Oenanthe melanoleuca, 248 nucleotides long. RefSeq lists it as uncharacterized. Lineage: Eukaryota; Metazoa; Chordata; Aves; Passeriformes; Muscicapidae. The record is from RefSeq and is a predicted model, not a curated record. The transcript is spliced from 4 exons.